UAUAUACUCCCUCUAUCCGGAAAUACUUGUUCUAAAAAAUCAUGUAUUUAAACUUAUUUUAGUUAUAGAUACAUUUAUUUUAUUCAUUUUUAGGACAAGUAUUUUGGGACGGAGGGAGUAUAUA
Molecule: non-coding RNA, 124 nt
Organism: Hordeum vulgare subsp. vulgare (domesticated barley)
Lineage: Eukaryota; Viridiplantae; Streptophyta; Magnoliopsida; Poales; Poaceae
Source: Rfam